RNAcentral lists this long non-coding RNA (199 nucleotides) under Nicotiana benthamiana. RNAcentral's name for it is "long non-coding RNA (NBEN_LNC006444)". The record is from RNAcentral. Lineage: Eukaryota; Viridiplantae; Streptophyta; Magnoliopsida; Solanales; Solanaceae.
UCCCCUUGUUCGCUCUCCGUUCUUCCUCGCUUGUGCUCCCUGCCAUCUUAGCAAACGCCGCCUUCUUCGCCUCCACUUUACCUUGGACUACAUUGUUCCACCACCAGUCACCCUGAUGUCUGCCUGAAUAGCCUUUGGCUACCCUGAGCACAUCUCGUGCUACCUCCCUAACCAAGUUCGUCGUCUCUGAUCACAUAUC